UGUGAGCUCGAUGAGUAGGGCGGGACACGUGGUAUCCUGUCUGAAUAUGGGGGGACCAUCCUCCAAGGCUAAAUACUCCUGACUGACCGAUAGUGAACCAGUACCGUGAGGGAAAGGCGAAAAGAACCCCGGCGAGGGGAGUGAAAAAGAACCUGAAACCGUGUACGUACAAGCAGUGGGAGCACGCUUAGGCGUGUGACUGCGUACCUUUUGUAUAAUGGGUCAGCGACUUAUAUUCUGUAGCAAGGUUAACCGAAUAGGGGAGCCGAAGGGAAACCGAGUCUUAACUGGGCGUUAAGUUGCAGGGUAUAGACCCGAAACCCGGUGAUCUAGCCAUGGGCAGGUUGAAGGUUGGGUAACACUAACUGGAGGACCGAACCGACUAAUGUUGAAAAAUUAGCGGAUGACUUGUGGCUGGGGGUGAAAGGCCAAUCAAACCGGGAGAUAGCUGGUUCUCCCCGAAAGCUAUUUAGGUAGCGCCUCGUGAAUUCAUCUCCGGGGGUAGAGCACUGUUUCGGCAAGGGGGUCAUCCCGACUUACCAACCCGAUGCAAACUGCGAAUACCGGAGAAUGUUAUCACGGGAGACACACGGCGGGUGCUAACGUCCGUCGUGAAGAGGGAAACAACCCAGACCGCCAGCUAAGGUCCCAAAGUCAUGGUUAAGUGGGAAACGAUGUGGGAAGGCCCAGACAGCCAGGAUGUUGGCUUAGAAGCAGCCAUCAUUUAAAGAAAGCGUAAUAGCUCACUGGUCGAGUCGGCCUGCGCGGAAGAUGUAACGGGGCUAAACCAUGCACCGAAGCUGCGGCAGCGACGCUUAUGCGUUGUUGGGUAGGGGAGCGUUCUGUAAGCCUGUGAAGGUGUGCUGUGAGGCAUGCUGGAGGUAUCAGAAGUGCGAAUGCUGACAUAAGUAACGAUAAAGCGGGUGAAAAGCCCGCUCGCCGGAAGACCAAGGGUUCCUGUCCAACGUUAAUCGGGGCAGGGUGAGUCGACCCCUAAGGCGAGGCCGAAAGGCGUAGUCGAUGGGAAACAGGUUAAUAUUCCUGUACUUGGUGUUACUGCGAAGGGGGGACGGAGAAGGCUAUGUUGGCCGGGCGACGGUUGUCCCGGUUUAAGCGUGUAGGCUGGUUUUCCAGGCAAAUCCGGAAAAUCAAGGCUGAGGCGUGAUGACGAGGCACUACGGUGCUGAAGCAACAAAUGCCCUGCUUCCAGGAAAAGCCUCUAAGCAUCAGGUAACAUCAAAUCGUACCCCAAACCGACACAGGUGGUCAGGUAGAGAAUACCAAGGCGCUUGAGAGAACUCGGGUGAAGGAACUAGGCAAAAUGGUGCCGUAACUUCGGGAGAAGGCACGCUGAUAUGUAGGUGAAGUCCCUCGCGGAUGGAGCUGAAAUCAGUCGAAGAUACCAGCUGGCUGCAACUGUUUAUUAAAAACACAGCACUGUGCAAACACGAAAGUGGACGUAUACGGUGUGACGCCUGCCCGGUGCCGGAAGGUUAAUUGAUGGGGUCAGCGCAAGCGAAGCUCUUGAUCGAAGCCCCGGUAAACGGCGGCCGUAACUAUAACGGUCCUAAGGUAGCGAAAUUCCUUGUCGGGUAAGUUCCGACCUGCACGAAUGGCGUAAUGAUGGCCAGGCUGUCUCCACCCGAGACUCAGUGAAAUUGAACUCGCUGUGAAGAUGCAGUGUACCCGCGGCAAGACGGAAAGACCCCGUGAACCUUUACUAUAGCUUGACACUGAACAUUGAGCCUUGAUGUGUAGGAUAGGUGGGAGGCUUUGAAGUGUGGACGCCAGUCUGCAUGGAGCCGACCUUGAAAUACCACCCUUUAAUGUUUGAUGUUCUAACGUUGACCCGUAAUCCGGGUUGCGGACAGUGUCUGGUGGGUAGUUUGACUGGGGCGGUCUCCUCCUAAAGAGUAACGGAGGAGCACGAAGGUUGGCUAAUCCUGGUCGGACAUCAGGAGGUUAGUGCAAUGGCAUAAGCCAGCUUGACUGCGAGCGUGACGGCGCGAGCAGGUGCGAAAGCAGGUCAUAGUGAUCCGGUGGUUCUGAAUGGAAGGGCCAUCGCUCAACGGAUAAAAGGUACUCCGGGGAUAACAGGCUGAUACCGCCCAAGAGUUCAUAUCGACGGCGGUGUUUGGCACCUCGAUGUCGGCUCAUCACAUCCUGGGGCUGAAGUAGGUCCCAAGGGUAUGGCUGUUCGCCAUUUAAAGUGGUACGCGAGCUGGGUUUAGAACGUCGUGAGACAGUUCGGUCCCUAUCUGCCGUGGGCGCUGGAGAACUGAGGGGGGCUGCUCCUAGUACGAGAGGACCGGAGUGGACGCAUCACUGGUGUUCGGGUUGUCAUGCCAAUGGCACUGCCCGGUAGCUAAAUGCGGAAGAGAUAAGUGCUGAAAGCAUCUAAGCACGAAACUUGCCCCGAGAUGAGUUCUCCCUGACUCCUUGAGAGUCCUGAAGGAACGUUGAAGACGACGACGUUGAUAGGCCGGGUGUGUAAGCGCAGCGAUGCGUUGAGCUAACCGGUACUAAUGAACCGUGAGGCUUAACCUUACAACGCCGAAGCUGUU
Molecule: ribosomal RNA, 2564 nt
Filed under: Escherichia coli
Lineage: Bacteria; Pseudomonadati; Pseudomonadota; Gammaproteobacteria; Enterobacterales; Enterobacteriaceae
Description: partial 23S ribosomal RNA
Rfam family: Bacterial large subunit ribosomal RNA
Source: RNAcentral